RNAcentral lists this transfer RNA (62 nucleotides) under Hyalella kochi. RNAcentral describes it as "tRNA-Ser". The record is from RNAcentral. Lineage: Eukaryota; Metazoa; Arthropoda; Malacostraca; Amphipoda; Hyalellidae.
AAUUAUUAAGUAUAACUUUAUACAUUUGCCUUGAAAGCUUAAAAUGAGUAGCUCAGUAGUUU